RNAcentral lists this unclassified non-coding RNA (223 nucleotides) under uncultured Gammaproteobacteria bacterium. Its description in RNAcentral is "contains 16S-23S intergenic spacer region". It matches the Rfam family "Bacterial small subunit ribosomal RNA", at positions 980 to 1203 of the family's 1533-position model. Lineage: Bacteria; Pseudomonadati; Pseudomonadota; Gammaproteobacteria. The record is from RNAcentral.
UACCCUUGACAUGCUAGGAAGCUCGCAGAAAUGUGAGUGUGCCCGAAAGGGAACCUAGACACAGGUGCUGCAUGGCUGUCGUCAGCUCGUGUCGUGAGAUGUUGGGUUAAGUCCCGCAACGAGCGCAACCCUUGUCAUUAGUUGCUACAUUCAGUUGGGCACUCUAAUGAGACUGCCGGUGACAAACCGGAGGAAGGUGGGGAUGACGUGCCUUACAGCGUAC